GACGAACGCUGGCGGCGUGCUUAACACAUGCAAGUCGAACGGAAAGGCCCUGCUUUUGUGGGGUGCUCGAGUGGCGAACGGGUGAGUAACACGUGAGUAACCUGCCCUUGACUUUGGGAUAACUUCAGGAAACUGGGGCUCAUACCGCAUAUGAUCUCCUGCUCCAUGGUGGGCGUUGGAAAGUUUCGGCGGUUGGGGCUGGACUCGCGGCUUAUCCGCUUUUUUGUGUGGUAGUGGCUUACCAAGGCUUUGACGGGUAGCCGGCCUGAGAGGGUGACCGGCGACAUGGGGACUGAGAGAGGGAGCAGAAGGCAACGGGAGGCAGCAGGGGGGAGUAUGGCACAGUGGGGGGAAGCCAGAUGCAGCAACGCCGCGUGCGGGAUGACGGCCUUCGGGUUGUAAACCGAUUUGGCCUGUGACGAAGAGUGAGUGACGGUAAUGGGUAAAGAAGCACCGGCUAACUACGUG
RNAcentral lists this ribosomal RNA (468 nucleotides) under uncultured bacterium. RNAcentral describes it as "partial 16S ribosomal RNA". It matches the Rfam family "Bacterial small subunit ribosomal RNA", at positions 28 to 507 of the family's 1533-position model. The record is from RNAcentral.